Pelobates cultripes (western spadefoot toad) is the source of this 204-nucleotide non-coding RNA. NCBI's taxonomy places the organism in Eukaryota, Metazoa, Chordata, Amphibia, Anura, Pelobatidae. The record is from the annotation of a GenBank genome assembly.
GAGUUAGGGAGGGAAGGGGUAACUAGUGACAGAGGGAGGGGUGACUAGGGACAGAGUGAGGGAGAUGGUGACUAGUGACAGUCACCACCUCUGUCACUAGUCACCACCUCCCUCCCUCUGUCACUGGUCACCCACUCCCUCCCUCACUCUGUCACCAGUCAUCCCCUUACUCUGUCACUAGUCACCCCUUCCUUCCCUCACUCU